Molecule: ribosomal RNA, 274 nt
Filed under: uncultured bacterium
Lineage: Bacteria
Description: partial 16S ribosomal RNA
Rfam family: Bacterial small subunit ribosomal RNA
Source: RNAcentral
ACACGGAGGGUGCGAGCGUUGUUCGGAAUCACUGGGCGUAAAGCGGGUGUAGGCGGUCUAGCAAGUCAGAUGUGAAAGUCCAGGGCUCAACCCUGGAAGUGCAUCUGAAACUGUUAGACUUGAGUACUGGAGAGGGAAGUGGAAUUCCUGGUGUAGGGGUGAAAUCCGUAGAUAUCAGGAGGAACACCGGUGGCGAAGGCGACUUCCUGGACAGAUACUGACGCUCAGACCCGAAAGCGUGGGGAGCGAACAGGAUUAGAAACCCUAGUAGUCC